UGGGGAAUAUUGGACAAUGGGGGCAACCCUGAUCCAGCCAUGCCGCGUGUGUGAAGAAGGCCUUUUGGUUGUAAAGCACUUUAAGCAGGGAGGAGAGGCUAAUGGUUAAUACCCAUUAGAUUAGACGUUACCUGCAGAAUAAGCACCGGCUAACUCUGUGCCAGCAGCCGCGGUAAUACAGAGGGUGCGAGCGUUAAUCGGAAUUACUGGGCGUAAAGCGAGUGUAGGUGGCUCAUUAAGUCACAUGUGAAAUCCCCGGGCUUAACCUGGGAACGCAUGUGAUACUGGUGGUGCUAGAAUAUGUGAGAGGGAAGUAGAAUUCCAGGUGUAGCGGUGAAAUGCGUAGAGAUCUGGAGGAAUACCGAUGGCGAAGGCAGCUUCCUGGCAUAAUAUUGACACUGAGAUUCGAAAGCGUGGGUAGCAAACAGGAUUAGAUACCCUGGUAGUCCACGCCGUAAACGAUGUCUACUAGCCGUUGGGGUCCUUGAGACUUUAGUGGCGCAGUU
Molecule: ribosomal RNA, 506 nt
Filed under: uncultured bacterium
Lineage: Bacteria
Description: partial 16S ribosomal RNA
Rfam family: Bacterial small subunit ribosomal RNA
Source: RNAcentral